AAAUAAGAAGUAAAUUUUACAUUUAGUUUCGACCUAAAAAUUUGAUAUCUUUAGUAUCCUUAUUUA
Molecule: transfer RNA, 66 nt
Filed under: Cucujoidea sp. 15 KM-2017
Lineage: Eukaryota; Metazoa; Arthropoda; Insecta; Coleoptera
Description: tRNA-Arg
Source: RNAcentral